Molecule: ribosomal RNA, 303 nt
Filed under: uncultured bacterium
Lineage: Bacteria
Description: partial 16S ribosomal RNA
Rfam family: Bacterial small subunit ribosomal RNA
Source: RNAcentral
AGCAGUCGCCGCGGUAAUACGGAGGGGGCUAGCGUUGUUCGGAAUUACUGGGCGUAAAGCGCACGUAGGCGGCUUGGUAAGUUAGAGGUGAAAGCCCGGAGCUCAACUCCGGAAUUGCCUUUAAGACUGCCGAGCUAGCAGGUGAGAGAGGUAAGUGGAAUUCCGAGUGUAGAGGUGAAAUUCGUAGAUAUUCGGAAGAACACCAGUGGCGAAGGCGGCUUACUGGCUCAUACUGGACGCUGAGGUGCGAAAGCGUGGGGAGCAAACAGGAUUAGAUACCCGCGUAGUCCCUGUCUCUUAUAC